CUAAAACAAUGUCAAUGGUUUUCAUCCACAGCAGUUGAUCUAGUUAGUAAGUGUCGAUACUUUGGGUCUGAAUGG
Molecule: small nucleolar RNA, 75 nt
Organism: Callithrix jacchus (white-tufted-ear marmoset)
Lineage: Eukaryota; Metazoa; Chordata; Mammalia; Primates; Cebidae
Source: Ensembl